RNAcentral lists this ribosomal RNA (468 nucleotides) under uncultured bacterium. RNAcentral's name for it is "partial 16S ribosomal RNA". It matches the Rfam family "Bacterial small subunit ribosomal RNA", at positions 28 to 507 of the family's 1533-position model. The record is from RNAcentral.
GACGAACGCUGGCGGCGUGCUUAACACAUGCAAGUUGAACGGAAAGGCCCUGCUUUUGUGGGGUGCUCGAGUGGCGAACGGGUGAGUAACACGUGAGUAACCUGCCCUUGACUUUGGGAUAACUUCAGGAAACUGGGGCUAAUACCGGAUAGGAGCUCCUGCUGCAUGGUGGGGGUUGGAAAGUUUCGGCGGUUGGGGAUGGACUCGCGGCUUAUCAGCUUGUUGGUGGGGUAGUGGCUUACCAAGGCUUUGACGGGUAGCCGGCCUGAGAGGGUGACCGGCCACAUUGGGACUGAGAUACGGCCCAGACUCCUACGGGAGGCAGCAGUGGGGAAUAUUGCACAAUGGGCGGAAGCCUGUUGCAGCAACGCCGCGUGCGGGAUGACGGCCUUCGGGUUGUAAACCGCUUUCGCCUGUGACGAAGCGUGAGUGACGGUAAUGGGUAAAGAAGCACCGGCUAACUACGUG